RNAcentral lists this long non-coding RNA (775 nucleotides) under Mytilus galloprovincialis (Mediterranean mussel). The record is from RNAcentral. Lineage: Eukaryota; Metazoa; Mollusca; Bivalvia; Mytilida; Mytilidae.
CUUAAGGGGGUGACCAACACCAACAUUUCGCCAUUUUGACCCAGAUAUUGACCAACACAUUUUAGUGUAUAUCUUAAUAAACUUAUGAAAAAAGUUAAUGAAUCUUUCCCCAAAUGUUCAACACAAUAGUUGACAUACAUAUAUAUACUUACUAAGUUGUUUUUUGAUAAAAUAAAGAAAUUAUUAACAUCCAAACAUUGACUCUGGGCGGGUACAUAUGCUGCCCUAUUGUACGAACGAUUUUCCAGAAAACAAGUGAAUAUCACUUCUUUCACCAUUUAUCUAAAACAAAGGCGUCUUAGAAUUUCCAAUUUGUACUCCAUUCAUGAGAUAUCUUCAUUGAAACACGGGUGGUGGUUGUUCAAAUUUGAAACCAUUUUGAACUGGAACUACUUUCUGAAAAAUGUAUGGAGCGCACUUCUGCUCAAAUACAGAAUGUCGGUAAGAAUGGAAACUAAAUUUUUUUUUCUGCUCAAUUUUUGUUUCUGUUUAUAAAAUAAAGUAAUGAGUAUAUAAAUAGGGUAAAAUAUGUAUUUAUUGGUGUGCAGUUGUCUUAAAUGUUUAAUUUAUUUGUUCCUGUCACACUAACAUCUUUAUAAUGUCAACCAACGAUAAUAAGGCAUAUAUGUGUUAAAUUAAGCUCCAGAAAAGAUCAGCAAAUGAGUGUCUACAACAGCGUGGUUUGCUGUUGAAUAGUGAAAUGAAUGUUUAUCCUAUAAAUAAAAAUACACAUAUAUGACGUUUGUUUGAUGUUCAACUGACGCAGAAGCAAACG